This 68-nucleotide transfer RNA is filed under the name Chelonia mydas (Green sea turtle). It matches the Rfam family "tRNA". From Rfam's summary of the family: Transfer RNA (tRNA) molecules are approximately 80 nucleotides in length. Their secondary structure includes four short double-helical elements and three loops (D, anti-codon, and T loops). Lineage: Eukaryota; Metazoa; Chordata; Testudines; Cheloniidae. The record is from Rfam by way of RNAcentral.
GGCAGUGUGGCCUAACAGAGCACGAGACUGGGAUUCAGGAGACUUGGGUUCUAGUCCCAGCUCUGCCA